This 72-nucleotide transfer RNA is filed under the name Chlorocebus sabaeus (green monkey). It matches the Rfam family "tRNA". From Rfam's summary of the family: Transfer RNA (tRNA) molecules are approximately 80 nucleotides in length. Their secondary structure includes four short double-helical elements and three loops (D, anti-codon, and T loops). Further hydrogen bonds mediate the characteristic L-shaped molecular structure. tRNAs have two regions of fundamental functional importance: the anti-codon, which is responsible for specific mRNA codon recognition, and the 3' end, to which the tRNAs corresponding amino acid is attached (by aminoacyl-tRNA synthetases). tRNAs cope with the degeneracy of the genetic code in two manners: having more than one tRNA (with a specific anti-codon) for a particular amino acid; and 'wobble' base-pairing, i.e. permitting non-standard base-pairing at the 3rd anti-codon position. The record is from Rfam by way of RNAcentral. Lineage: Eukaryota; Metazoa; Chordata; Mammalia; Primates; Cercopithecidae.
GGGGGUGUAGCUCAGUGGUAGAGCGCGUGCUUCGCAUGUACGAGGUCACUGGUUCAAUCCCUGGUGCCUCCA